UACGAAGGGGGCUAGCGUUGCUCGGAAUUACUGGGCGUAAAGGGAGCGUAGGUGGACAGUUUAGUCAGAGGUGAAAGCCCAGGGCUCAACCUUGGAAUUGCCUUUGAUACUGGCUGUCUUGAGUACGGAAGAGGUAUGUGGAACUCCGAGUGUAGAGGUGAAAUUCGUAGAUAUUCGGAGGAACACCAGAAGCGAAGGCGGCCAACUGGCCCGAUACUGACGCUGAGGCGCGAAAGCGUGGGGAGCAAACAGG
RNAcentral lists this ribosomal RNA (253 nucleotides) under uncultured bacterium. RNAcentral describes it as "partial 16S ribosomal RNA". It matches the Rfam family "Bacterial small subunit ribosomal RNA", at positions 524 to 776 of the family's 1533-position model. The record is from RNAcentral.